GCAUUGGUGGGUCAGUGGUAGAAUUCUCACCUUCCAUGAGGGAGACCUGGGUUCAGUUCCCAGCCAGUGCA
RNAcentral lists this transfer RNA (71 nucleotides) under Loxodonta africana (African savanna elephant). It matches the Rfam family "tRNA". From Rfam's summary of the family: Transfer RNA (tRNA) molecules are approximately 80 nucleotides in length. Their secondary structure includes four short double-helical elements and three loops (D, anti-codon, and T loops). Further hydrogen bonds mediate the characteristic L-shaped molecular structure. tRNAs have two regions of fundamental functional importance: the anti-codon, which is responsible for specific mRNA codon recognition, and the 3' end, to which the tRNAs corresponding amino acid is attached (by aminoacyl-tRNA synthetases). tRNAs cope with the degeneracy of the genetic code in two manners: having more than one tRNA (with a specific anti-codon) for a particular amino acid; and 'wobble' base-pairing, i.e. permitting non-standard base-pairing at the 3rd anti-codon position. The record is from Rfam by way of RNAcentral. Lineage: Eukaryota; Metazoa; Chordata; Mammalia; Proboscidea; Elephantidae.